Molecule: small RNA, 148 nt
Filed under: Pongo abelii (Sumatran orangutan)
Lineage: Eukaryota; Metazoa; Chordata; Mammalia; Primates; Hominidae
Description: Metazoan signal recognition particle RNA (ENSPPYG00000038416.1)
Source: Rfam by way of RNAcentral
GCUGGGCGUGGUGACGUGCGCCUGUAAUCCCAGAUACUCAGGAGGCUGAGGCAGGAGAAUCACUUGAACCUGGGAGGCAGAGGUUGCAGUGAGCCAAGAUUGCGCCACUAUACUCCAGCCUGGGUGACAGAGUGAUACUCUGCCUCAA